This 447-nucleotide ribosomal RNA is filed under the name uncultured bacterium. Its description in RNAcentral is "bacterial SSU rRNA". It matches the Rfam family "Bacterial small subunit ribosomal RNA", at positions 355 to 825 of the family's 1533-position model. The record is from RNAcentral.
UGGGGAAUAUUGGACAAUGGGCGAAAGCCUGAUCCAGCAAUGCCGCGUGAGUGAUGAAGGCCUUAGGGUUGUAAAGCUCUUUUACCAGGGAUGAUAAUGACAGUACCUGGAGAAUAAGCUCCGGCUAACUCCGUGCCAGCAGCCGCGGUAAUACGGAGGGAGCUAGCGUUGUUCGGAAUUACUGGGCGUAAAGCGUACGUAGGCGGUGACUCAAGUCAGAGGUGAAAGCCUGGAGCUCAACUCCAGAACUGCCUUUGAAACUAGGUCGCUAGAAUCACGGAGAGGUGAGUGGAAUUCCGAGUGUAGAGGUGAAAUUCGUAGAUAUUCGGAAGAACACCAGUGGCGAAGGCGGCUCACUGGACGUGUAUUGACGCUGAGGUACGAAAGCGUGGGGAGCAAACAGGAUUACAUACCCUUGUAGUCCCUGAGCGGGCUGGCAAGGCGCAU